RNAcentral lists this ribosomal RNA (254 nucleotides) under uncultured bacterium. Its description in RNAcentral is "partial 16S ribosomal RNA". It matches the Rfam family "Bacterial small subunit ribosomal RNA", at positions 524 to 777 of the family's 1533-position model. The record is from RNAcentral.
UACGAAGGGGGCUAGCGUUGCUCGGAAUCACUGGGCGUAAAGGGUGCGUAGGCGGGUCUUUAAGUCAGGGUGAAAUCCUGGAGCUCAACUCCAGAACUGCCUUUGAUACUGGUGAGCUUGAGUCCGGAAGAGGUGAGUGGAACUGCGAGUGUAGAGGUGAAAUUCGUAGAUAUUCGCAAGAACACCAGUGGCGAAGGCGGCUCACUGGUCCGGUACUGACGCUGAGGUGCGAAAAGCGUGGGGAGCAAACAGGG